Molecule: ribosomal RNA, 512 nt
Filed under: uncultured bacterium
Lineage: Bacteria
Description: bacterial SSU rRNA
Rfam family: Bacterial small subunit ribosomal RNA
Source: RNAcentral
AGAGUUGAUCAUGGCUCAGGAUGAACGCUAGCUACAGGCUUAACACAUGCAAGUCGAGGGGUAGCAGGGUAGCAAUACCGCUGACGACCGGCGCACGGGUGAGUAACACGUAUCCAACCUUCCCAUAACUCAGGGAUAGCCUUUCGAAAGAAAGAUUAAUACCUGAUAGUUACUUUUUCAAGGCAUCUUGAAAAAGUUAAAGAUUUAUUGGUUAUGGAUGGGAUGCGUUCCAUUAGAUAGUUGGUGAGGUACGGCUCACCAAGUCUUCGAUGGAUAGGGGUUCUGAGAGGAAGGUCCCCCACAUUGGUACUGAGACACGGACCAAACUCCUACGGGAGGCAGCAGUGAGGAAUAUUGGUCAAUGGGCGAGAGCCUGAACCAGCCAAGUAGCGUGAAGGAAUGAAGGUCCUAUGGAUUGUAAACUUCUUUUAUAGUAGAAUAAAGUGAGCCACGUGUGGUUUUUUGUAUGUAUACUAUGAAUAAGGAUCGGCUAACUCCGUGCCAGCCGCAGC